This 304-nucleotide ribosomal RNA is filed under the name uncultured Sphingomonas sp. RNAcentral describes it as "bacterial SSU rRNA". It matches the Rfam family "Bacterial small subunit ribosomal RNA", at positions 108 to 429 of the family's 1533-position model. Lineage: Bacteria; Pseudomonadati; Pseudomonadota; Alphaproteobacteria; Sphingomonadales; Sphingomonadaceae. The record is from RNAcentral.
GCGUAACGCGUGGGAAUCUGCCCUCUGGUACGGAAUAACUCAGGGAAACUUGAGCUAAUACCGUAUAAUGACUUCGGUCCAAAGAUUUAUCGCCUGAGGAUGAGCCCGCGUAGGAUUAGCUUGUUGGUGAGGUAAAAGCUCACCAAGGCGACGAUCCUUAGCUGGUCUGAGAGGAUGAUCAGCCACACUGGGACUGAGACACGGCCCAGACUCCUACGGGAGGCAGCAGUGGGGAAUAUUGGACAAUGGGCGAAAGCCUGAUCCAGCAAUGCCGCGUGAGUGAUGAAGGCCUUAGGGUUGUAAA